Molecule: non-coding RNA, 2621 nt
Organism: Lactuca sativa (garden lettuce)
Lineage: Eukaryota; Viridiplantae; Streptophyta; Magnoliopsida; Asterales; Asteraceae
Source: RefSeq, a predicted model, not a curated record
CAUUCAUUCUUCCGGUAGAUAUUCUAGACUUUAUCGUUUCUAUUUUUUUCUUCCUGAAAUCGCAUACACCGAUUGUUGUGUUCGAUUUCUACAUUUCAAUGUACUGAUCUCUUGUAAUCGGAGAUUUCAUCGACUUCGUAGCGGCCUUACAGUGUAGCCACCCCACUGCCAUAAUUUCUUAAUAGCAUAAUCGGGAAUAAAUAUAUGUUUGAAAUCCAAAAUCGAAAGGAAUACAAAUCCAAUUUCGUAAUAGUUAGUAGAGCAGAAAGAAAGCGAUUUCAGUCCGUUGCUAAAGUUAUGAAGAAAAAAUGGCGUCCUUGUGGUCUGAUUUUGGAAUAUGUUGGCUGUUGGAUUUCAACGAUGAAGAUAGGGCGACGAUGAAAAAGAGCAGCAAAUCUCUAUAAUCAUAAAGCACGAUAGUGUUUAUUGAGUCGAGUGUUGAAGAGUAUGUUGCAUUCAACAACAGCUUAGAGAAUCUCACAUGAUUUCUUUUCACAUCUUAUGAAAGAAAUAGUAUUGUUGAAGAUGAGAAAGCACAAUAAAACUUGACAAUGGGAAGGAAUGUGGAGGACGUGUUGACGAUAUUGAAAUAUAAAUGGAGUCAAAAUAUUAAUUUCAAGUUGCUAAUUUUUUGGGAUUUCAUUGAAAUUUUGAAAAGAGUCAAAAUAAGAUAGGAUUUGUUACCAAACAAAUCAAACGUGAAUUGCUAUUGUUUCCAAAAAGCAUGGAAUUUAAAUUUAAAUUUAAAUGUUAUAAGAAACCGAAAAAUGCAAUAAGUUGAAAAAAAAUCGGAUUACAAUUUAAUUUUAAUGUAAUUUAAUUUGAAUAAUAAGAAUUAUUCAUAAAAUGACACGUGGCAUGUUAGAAUGGUAGAAAGGGGACAUUUGGCACAUUAAAUGUUUUGUUUACUAGAGGAGGUAGAUUAGAUGCAAUUUAGUUUUUAUUUUAGGCACAUUGUUCAUUAUUUAUAUAUAUACUAAUUUUAAACUACAUCAUGAAUAGGAGUUCGUUGUGUUUGGACCAAAAUCAAAAUUUCUUAUUUAUUUAUUUUUAUUUUUUUAACGUGUCUUCUUUUAUGACAACCUGUGAUACAUCAUUGCUACGUGUUAUAUGUUCAUCAUUGCUACGUCUUAUUUGUUCAUCUCCCACCUCCUGCUACCGAUUACAAAUCGACACAGCAGAUGAACCGCCUCAUCUAAUUUAUCUCUCCAACUCUCUCCGUCUACCUCUAAACCCUCCGCUCACCGCCUCUAACCCUCCAUCUCUCUCUAAAAUACGCUCUGCGUUCCAAAUCAGCUUCCAGUACCUUCCACCGAUCUCUUUUUCCUCUGAAUCCACCUCUUCCAUCGUGGUUGGCGGAUCUCAUUUCGUCGAUGCUUUCUAUCCACCACCGCCCACCACGUUGUCGAUUGUGAUGGAGGGAGAAGAAACAAGAGAUGUAUUUUGGGUUCAACAAGCAUUUAAUCCGGCACCGCUCCCGCUUUUUUCGUCUUUGGUUUUCACAAGUUCAUACUUUUAGGUUUCUGCCUCUUUGAAAAUUGAGAAAUUAGGGCUUACUUAUCGUACCUUCUGUUCUUCUUCCCGUCGAGCAAAGACCACCGAGCCCCACCUGCUUCGCCUUGGUCCACAUAACCAUUUCCAGCUUUCUUCCCUUUUCUUGUCUGCUGUUAACGACGGGACCAUUGAACCAUGAGAAGCUCGCUGGAAAUCGACUGCCUCUCUCCCCUUCUCACGACCCCGCAACCACCGCCAUUCACCACCGAGACAGAAGCCGUUUCCCCCUUCUUCUUUCCCUGCUGCACCCACCGAAACCAUAGCAGUUUCGCUGCUUUUCUCUUUCUUUCCCUUUGAUCCAGUCAGAGAUGGAAAGAGUUUUUCUGUGCUUCAGAAUGUUGAUAAGUUUAAUGGCAGGUAUCCGGGUGGCAUAUUCAACCCACACAACUUUGCACUAACCGCUGUAGCCAAAGAGAAAGAGAUUGCCAAUGAUAUCAGGACAUGAUGGUGGAACUGGAGCCAGUCUAAUAAGUUCAAUCAAGCAUGCUGGUUGGACUCUCAGAAACACAACAUGGUAACCUACUGUUUGAUAUGCCCUGAUGACAAAGUAGAAUGUGUAAUUGUAAAAAGACAACAUGGCUAUCCUCAAGGCAUUUAUUUAACCAUGAGGCUGGAUCUGUGUGACAUUAAUGUCCUUGAAAGAAGUGUAGGUCUAGCUAUACCUUUCUACAAAUUUGAUCUUCUCAUCAAAUCUAAUCUGGUCUAUAUCACGUUCUUAUGUAGCAACGAUUAUUUGUGUAAUCUGUUAAGACUAAGCACCCACAGCUUCACUAUGAGGCCAAAUUGUACAUGCUUCUUCAAGGAGGAACUGGUGUUCCCCACCUUAAAUGGAUUGGAGUUGAAGGCGAAUACAAUGCCAUGGUUAUUGACCUUCUUAGAAGCUUUAUACAAAUAAUGCAAUAUUCAUACGCAUAAGUCUUUUUCAAUUUUGUUUGAGGUGUACCUUAGAAGGAUUGGAUAUCAGUUGUUAGUUUUCAGGUUUUUUUUUGGUCAAGAAAUUAUGCUAUGUUCUCAUACAUCUUAAAUGCUACCUAUUUCUCAUUGUAAUCACAAAUCCAUAAGGUCCA